ACUCCUACGGGAGGCAGCAGUGGGGAAUUUUGGACAAUGGGGGCAACCCUGAUCCAGCCAUCCCGCGUGUGCGAUGAAGGCCUUCGGGUUGUAAAGCACUUUUGGCAGGGAAGAAACAGCCUGGGCUAAUAUCCCGGGCGACUGACGGUACCUGCAGAAUAAGCACCGGCUAACUACGUGCCAGCAGCCGCGGUAAUACGUAGGGUGCAAGCGUUAAUCGGAAUUACUGGGCGUAAAGCGUGCGCAGGCGGUUCGGAAAGAAAGGUGUGAAAUCCCAGGGCUUAACCUUGGAACUGCACUUUUAACUACCGGGCUAGAGUACGUCAGAGGGGGUAGAAUUCCACGUGUAGCAGUGAAAUGCGUAGAGAUGUGGAGGAAUACCGAUGGCGAAGGCAGCCCCUGGCAUGGAUACUGACGCUCAUGCACGAAAGCGUGGGAGC
RNAcentral lists this ribosomal RNA (440 nucleotides) under uncultured bacterium. Its description in RNAcentral is "bacterial SSU rRNA". It matches the Rfam family "Bacterial small subunit ribosomal RNA", at positions 335 to 769 of the family's 1533-position model. The record is from RNAcentral.